GGACACCCCGCCCGACGCGCGGCCGGUUACCUUCUUCGUAGCCCCACUCCACCCCCUCCUCCUCUUCCUCUUCAUCCUCCUCCUUCUCCGGGAAGGCGACGGAAUCUUCGAUGAAGCUCAGCACUGCUCUGAGUUUAGGCAUUCCAUCCAACAUCACUAGAUUGCAGAUUCUCUCAGAUGGAAGAGUAGGAAAAUAACGAAAGUUGCCCCUGACUCAAAAUCUUCCUUGAAAAAUGAUGGCAAGAAAACGGACUCAUUUGACUUAUCAUGCAGCUCCAUAGGCCCAAGAGAUGCAAUAAUGUAACAGACAAGAUCUUUUAAGGAAAUUUUAUCCAACAUUCUUAAUUGGAAGGCAUUUGAGAGGAGCACAGAGAAACCAAGUGCCCAGGUUUCCUGAUACCAGUUCUGCAAAUCCUUGCUACGCUACGCACCAAGGGACCUGCCAUCUUCAUAAAGUUGAUGUCUUCCACAAAAACAAAACGACACAAAACAAGAAACCGGCACAGAGUAUGUUCUGUGUAUCUAUGACAGAACACCGAAGCACCCUCUCUUUGGGCAGGCUGACCUCCUCGUGGCGAAUACAGUUUGGGGAGGACGGAGAUAACAGCCGAUUAGAACAGACCACGCAGCCAGAUCAGGCACAUACCCAGGCCAGCUGUCCAGGCCUUGCCGACAACCUUCUAUAGCCUCACCUCUAAAUAAACAUGUAACAAAUAUCUCAUGGAUAUCCAUUUGAAAGGUCAGCAAAUGAUUAGCCUGCCCAGAGGGCCCACAUGUUUCCAUCCAGCCCUGCGUGAUUUGAGACCAUUUCCUGCACCAGGGUGCCAAAAGAGAAAUGGGAUGCGAUUUCAACUAGCCAUUUGAGAAAUUCUAAUCAAACCUUCCAGAGGCUUUAACCAAAUAAACCAAUCCAAUGUGUAUUUUAAAAAUGGUCUGAGAACGUAAAGGCCAAGGAAAGGGAAUGGGAGACAGAACAGAGUAGGGAUAUAGACAUAACAUAGAACAGCCGGAUAAGAAAUGGAAGUUUUAAUCAAGUAACUGCUGUUUUGUACAACUGGUUUGGUUAGCAUUUACUAACAGAUGAGACUUGCCUUUGCUGGAUUGAUGUGAAUAGACUGUUUCCUUCUUGGUCGGGCAGACGUGAUAUGCAGAGGAAGCAAAGUCAUAAUUUACUUGUAAGAGGAGUUACAUCAGCAUCGUGAUGGCAAAAGAUGUCCCUCAUUUUUGUCGCCCCGACAGCAAAAGUUCAGCAUCCAUGGGCAAGGGUGUGUUUGCGGUAACUGUGGCAUCCAACACCACCUGCUAAGGGAUCCAGGACAAGUCUCACCUAUCAGUUCAUCAGGCAAUAGACAGACGGACCUUGGUCCUAGCUGUGGAUCCUGUAAUGGCACCUUAACUGGCUUCAGCCCCUCUUCACUGUGGUCCAGAAGCUCCUGGAGAACACUGACUUAGGCAAUUGCCUGUGCACGAGAGAGCCUUUGGGGAAGUCCAGGAUUACAGAGAAGAAGUGCCAGCACACUGCUGCAGCAAAAAACCAAUUUGGCUGCCUUCGAGAUGGCAGUAAAGACUGGAGGAGAUGACGCGAGGAUAGCCACGCAGAAGUUCAAGGAACAGGAACAAUCAAGGUCACGUAACACCGCCAGAAGCUCGUAAUAAGCUUCCUGUAAGCAAACUGAACACAUGAGGACCUGCAGUUUACCAGACAAAUCAAAAUAGCAGCUUUAAGGAAAUUCAGUAAGCUAUAAGAAAACAAAGCCAAAUUGGUACAGAAACUGUGACACAGAGUGGAGGUUCCUCAAAAAUUUUUAAUGUAGAACUACUAUAUGAUUCUUCAAUCCCAUUUCUGUGUAUGGAUCCAAAGGAAAUGGAAACAAGAUCUUGACAAAAUACCUUCACUUCCAUGUCAGUUCAGCAGUAUGCACGGUAGCCAGGAUAUGGAACAACCUAAGUGUCCGUCAACACACAAAUGGAUAAAGAAGAUGCGAUGUGUCGCAUUAUUACGUUGUGCUGUAAUGAAAUAUAUAACGGGAUAUUAUUCGGCCACAGGAAGGAAGGAAAUCCUGCCAUUUGCGACCAUAUGGAUGGACCUUGAGGGCAUGAGGCUGAAUAAGAUAAAUCAGAGAAAGACAAAGCCUGUACGGUAUCACUUCUAUGUGGAACCUAAAACUACUGAACUCAUAGAAACAGAGUAGAAGGGUGGUUACCAGUGGCUGAGCAGUGGGGGAAAUGGAGAAAUGUUGGUCAAAGGGUACAAACUUCCAGCUAUACGAUGAUGUCCACGCAUCAGGAAUGGGGCAGGACGUGUUGGACAUGCCUUUCCUCUGCAAUGCCUGCGGCCUCAGGUGGAACACUCAAAGUCUGGAGGCAGAAAUCACCAGAAGAUUUACUCACAUACAUCUAGUGGUUGAUUCUGGCCUUGGGUCACAGAUCUGGCCAGUCCCAGGCUUCCUUACAUCAUAGCUCUGGAU
Prionailurus viverrinus (fishing cat) is the source of this 2468-nucleotide long non-coding RNA. RefSeq lists it as uncharacterized. The record is from RefSeq and is a predicted model, not a curated record. NCBI's taxonomy places the organism in Eukaryota, Metazoa, Chordata, Mammalia, Carnivora, Felidae. The transcript is spliced from 4 exons.